UGGGGAAUAUUGCACAAUGGGAGCAAGCCUGAUGCAGCCAUGCCGCGUGUAUGAAGAAGGCCUUCGGGUUGUAAAGUACUUUCAGCGAGGAGGAAGGCGUUGUGGUUAAUAACCGCAACGAUUGACGUUACUCGCAGAAGAAGCACCGGCUAACUCCGUGCCAGCAGCCGCGGUAAUACGGAGGGUGCAAGCGUUAAUCGGAAUUACUGGGCGUAAAGCGCACGCAGGCGGUCUGUCAAGUCGGAUGUGAAAUCCCCGGGCUCAACCUGGGAACUGCAUCCGAAACUGGCAGGCUAGAGUCUUGUAGAGAGGGGUAGAAUUCCAGGUGUAGCGGUGAAAUGCGUAGAGAUCUGGAGGAAUACCGGUGGCGAAGGCGGCCCCCUGGACAAAGACUGACGCUCAGGUGCGAAAGCGUGGGGAGCAAACA
Molecule: ribosomal RNA, 427 nt
Filed under: uncultured bacterium
Lineage: Bacteria
Description: partial 16S ribosomal RNA
Rfam family: Bacterial small subunit ribosomal RNA
Source: RNAcentral